GGUCAAGUUAUUAAGGGUGCAGGGCGGAUGCCUUGGCACUAGGAGCCGAUGAAGGACGUGAUAAGCUGCGAUAAGCUUCGGGGAGUUGCACGUAAACUUUGAUCCGAAGAUUUCCGAAUGAGGAAACUCACUUAGAGUAAUGUCUAAGUAUCAUUAAGUGAAUACAUAGCUUAAUGAGGGGAACUCAGGGAACUGAAACAUCUAAGUACCUGAAGGAAGAGAAAGAAAUUCGAUUCCGUAAGUAGCGGCGAGCGAACGCGGAUUAGCCCAAACCAAUAAAGUUUUCUUUAUUGGGGUUGCGGACAUAUCAUAACGAAGAGGUAUCGUAAUUGAAGAGGUUUGGAAAGACCCACCACAGAAGGUAAUAGUCCUGUAUGUUAAACGAGAAGACUUCAGAUAUGAUCCAGAGUACCACGGGACACGUGAAACCCUGUGGGAAGCAGGAGGGACCACCCUCCAAGGCUAAAUACUACCUAGUGACCGAUAGCGUAUAGUACCGUGAGGGAAAGGUGAAAAGAACCCCGGGAGGGGAGUGAAAUAGAACCUGAAACCCUGCACUUACAAGCUGUGGAAGCACAUUUCUUGUGUGACCGCGUACUUUUUGUAGAACGGGCCAACGAGUUACGUUAAGUAGCAAGGUUAAGCACUUAAGGUGUGGAGCCGUAGCGAAAGCGAGUUUUAACUGAGCGUUCAGUUACUUGACGUAGACCCGAAACCGGGCGACCUACCCAUGAGCAGGAUGAAGCGAAAGUAAAAUUUCGUGGAGGUCCGAACCCACGAGCGUUGAAAAGCUCGGGGAUGACUUGUGGGUAGCGGUGAAAUUCCAAUCGAGCCCGGAGAUAGCUGGUUCUCCCCGAAAUAGCUUUAGGGCUAGCCUCAAGGUGAGAGAUACGGAGGUAGAGCACUGAAUGUCCUAGGGGGUAUUGCACCUACCGAAGACUAUCAAACUCCGAAUGCCGUCAUCUUAUACUUGGGAGUCAGACUGUGGGUGAUAAGAUUCAUAGUCGAAAGGGCAACAGCCCAGAUCGUCAGCUAAGGUCCCUAAAUGUAAGUUAAGUGGUAAAGGAUGUGGGAUUGCACAGACAACCAGGAUGUUGGCUUAGAAGCAGCCACUCAUUCAAAGAGUGCGUAAUAGCUCACUGGUCGAGUGAUCCUGCGCCGAAGAUUUCCGGGGCUAAAACUUACUACCGAAGCUACGGCAUCAGUAAUGAUGGGUAGGGGAGCUUCCCAUACGGGUUGAAGCAUGACCGUAAGGACAUGUGGACAGUAUGGGAGUGAGAAUGUUGGCAUGAGUAGCGAGAUGUGGGUGAGAAUCCCACAGGCCGUAAACCCAAGGUUUCCAGGGGAAGGUUCGUCCGCCCUGGGUUAGUCGGGACCUAAGCUGAGGCCGAAAGGCGUAGGUGAUGGACAACAGGUUGAUAUUCCUGUAC
Molecule: ribosomal RNA, 1430 nt
Filed under: Clostridioides difficile
Lineage: Bacteria; Bacillati; Bacillota; Clostridia; Peptostreptococcales; Peptostreptococcaceae
Description: partial 23S ribosomal RNA
Rfam family: Bacterial large subunit ribosomal RNA
Source: RNAcentral